This 492-nucleotide ribosomal RNA is filed under the name uncultured bacterium. RNAcentral's name for it is "partial 16S ribosomal RNA". It matches the Rfam family "Bacterial small subunit ribosomal RNA", at positions 29 to 507 of the family's 1533-position model. The record is from RNAcentral.
AGUGAACGCUGGCGGUAGGCCUAACACAUGCAAGUCGAACGGCAGCACAGUAAGAGCUUGCUCUUACGGGUGGCGAGUGGCGGACGGGUGAGGAAUACAUCGGAAUCUACUUUUUCGUGGGGGAUAACGUAGGGAAACUUACGCUAAUACCGCAUACGACCUACGGGUGAAGGCAGGGGAUAUUCGGACCUUGCGCGAUUGAAUGAGCCGAUGUCGGAUUAGCUAGUUGGCGAGGUAAAGGCCCACCAAGGCGACGAUCCGUAGCUGGUCUGAGAGGAUGAUCAGCCACACUGGAACUGAGACACGGUCCAGACUCCUACGGGAGGCAGCAGUGGGGAAUAUUGGACAAUGGGCGCAAGCCUGAUCCAGCCAUACCGCGUGAGUGAAGAAGGCCUUCGGGUUGUAAAGCCCUUUUAUUAGGAAAGAAAAGCAGCAGGUUUAUAUGCCGCUGUUCUGACGGUACCCAAAGAGAAAGCAACGGCUAACUUCGUG